CCUACGGGAGGCAGCAGUGAGGAAUAUUGGUCAAUGGGCGGGAGUCUGAACCAGCCAAGUCGCGUGAGGGAAGAAGGUACUGAGUAUUGUAAACCUCUUUUGCCAGGGGACAAAGGCGGCCACGGGUGGCCGUAAGAGGGUACCUGGUGAAAAAGCAUCGGCUAACUCCGUGCCAGCAGCCGCGGUAAUACGGAGGAUGCGAGCGUUAUCUGGAUUUAUUGGGUUAAAAGGGUGCGUGGGUGGAAUGCCAAGUCAGCGGUAAAAUCGCGGGGCUCAACCUCGCUCCGCCGUUGAAACUGGCGUUCGUGAGUGGGCGAGAAGUAGGCGGAAGGCGUGGUGUAGCGGUGAAAUGCAUAGAUAUCACGCAGAACUCCGAUUGCGAAGGCAGCAUACCGGCGCCCAACUGACGCUGAAGCACGAAAGCGUGGGUAUCGAACAGGAUUAGAUACCCCUGUAGUC
This 459-nucleotide ribosomal RNA is filed under the name uncultured bacterium. Its description in RNAcentral is "partial 16S ribosomal RNA". It matches the Rfam family "Bacterial small subunit ribosomal RNA", at positions 338 to 795 of the family's 1533-position model. The record is from RNAcentral.